Molecule: transfer RNA, 73 nt
Filed under: Ailuropoda melanoleuca (giant panda)
Lineage: Eukaryota; Metazoa; Chordata; Mammalia; Carnivora; Ursidae
Rfam family: tRNA
About the family: Transfer RNA (tRNA) molecules are approximately 80 nucleotides in length. Their secondary structure includes four short double-helical elements and three loops (D, anti-codon, and T loops).
Source: Rfam by way of RNAcentral
UCCCGGCUGGCUCAGUCGAUAGAGCACAUGACUCUUAAUCUCAGGCUUGUGAGUUCAAACCCCACGUUGGGCA